Molecule: ribosomal RNA, 497 nt
Filed under: uncultured bacterium
Lineage: Bacteria
Description: partial 16S ribosomal RNA
Rfam family: Bacterial small subunit ribosomal RNA
Source: RNAcentral
GAUGAACGCUGGCGGCGUGCCUAAUACAUGCAAGUAGAACGCUGAAGCUUGGUGCUUGCACCGAGCGGAUGAGUUGCGAACGGGUGAGUAACGCGUAGGUAACCUGCCUCUUAGCGGGGGAUAACUAUUGGAAACGAUAGCUAAUACCGCAUAAAAGUCGAUAUCGCAUGAUAUUGAUUUGAAAGGUGCAAAUGCAUCACUAAGAGAUGGACCUGCGUUGUAUUAGCUAGUUGGUGAGGUAACGGCUCACCAAGGCGACGAUACAUAGCCGACCUGAGAGGGUGGUCGGCCACACUGGGACUGAGACACGGCCCAGACUCCUACGGGAGGCAGCAGUAGGGAAUCUUCGGCAAUGGGGGCAACCCUGACCGAGCAACGCCGCGUGAGGGAAGAAGGUUUUCGGAUCGUAAAGCUCUGUUGUAAGAGAAGAACGAGUGUGAGAGUGGAAAGUUCACACUGUGACGGUAACUUACCAGAAAGGGACGGCUAACUACGUG